AUGGAAAUAAAAAGUGAAACCAAAAUGAUAGAAAAGAUAUACCAUAUAAUCCUAGGUAGAAUAAAGAAACAUAUGUAGCUAUAUUACUAUCAGAAAGUGUAGUCUUUCAGAAAAAAUACCAAAUAUAAGAAGAGAAACACUUGAACAUAAAAAGUGGUAUGUCAGGAAGGUAGAAAUUUUAAAUUCUAUGCACCUAAUAAUAGACACUUAAAAUACAGAAAACAAAAUUUAACGGAAAUAAAAGGAGAAUAAAAAUGCCCUGGUUAUGGUGGAACAUUUUAAUACUCCUUUAAAUAGCUGACUGAACAAGAAGAUAAAAUCUGUAAAGAUAAUGAAAAUUUGAGCAAUGUGAUAAAUAAACUUGUCCUAGUCUUGCAUUUUAUUUCCCCAAGUUGACCUAAUGUGGGUCAUAAGGAAGACUCAGCAAAUUUCAAAAAAUUGAAAUUAUAUGGAAAACGUUCUCUUAGAACAGCAGAAUUCAGCUAGAAAUUAAUACAAAAAAUAAAAUAAAAAAUAAUAAAUAGAAAGUACUGGAGUUUUUGAACAAUAUGCCAUAUAUCUCUAAUAAAUUCAAAGGUCAGAUAAUUCAAAAUAAAAAUAAGAAAAAUGUUAGAUUCAGUGAUAUUGGAAUAUUACAUAUUGAAACAUAUUGGUGGUAGUUAAAGCCCCAGUGAGAAAUUUAUAGUAUUUAUUAGAAAAUAUAUAUUGGAAAAAUAGAGGCUAAAAAUCAGUUAUCUAAGCAUUGUCUCACAAAUCUAGGAAAUAAAAGAGCAAAUUAAAAAAUAGAAAGAAGGCAAAUAUGAAGCUAGUAGCAAAAAUUAAUAAAGCAGAAUUUAAUGCAGAUUAUAAAGAAAGCUAAAAGUUGGUUUUAAAAAUUUAACUGCUAAUUAUCUGGUGGAUUGGCAAAAUAAAAAAUAAUGAGAAUAUUUUGAACACAAUGUAUGCUGAUAAAUUUAAAAUGAUAGAAUGAGAAAAUUCCUAGGAAAACACAUCUUAAUCCUAUUAACACAAGAAAUAAAAAGUGCAAAUAAUACUUUACAUGGAAUAAGUGGAAUCUUCAAUUAAAAAUCUCACAAAGAAAAAUCCUGGACCAGAUGGCUUCACCAGUGAAUUCUACAGUCAUUUAAGGAAGGAAUUAUAUCAACUAACACUUAGUUCUAAAAGACAAUUAAAAAGAAACACUUCUCAGGUUGUUCGAUGAGGUAUAUUCUGAGGUAUAUUCGUUUUCUAUACUGUGUAGCAAAUUACCACAAUCCUUGGGGCUUAAAGCAAUUUAUUUAUUAUCUCAGUUUCUGUGGGUCAGGAGUCUGAGAAUAGCUUACAUGAUCCUCUGGUCAGGAUUUGACCCGGCUGUAAUCAAGGUGUGGGCUAGGCAGCAUUUUGAACUGGAGCUUGGGGGUCCCCUGCCAAGAUCACGUGGUUAUUGGCACACAUGUCUAUUUACACGUGUGUGUGUGUGUGUGUGUACACGUAUACAAGUACAUCCCUAGUGAUGGUUGUGACCUCUCACUACCUUUGCCAUACUCUGUUUAGUUAGAAGCAAAUCUCAGACCCUGCCUUUGCUCAAGGGGCGGGUUUCUAGAAGUGAUGACCGUUGAGGCCACUCUUGGGUCUGUCUGCCACAUGAGGCAAAAAAAUCUUGAAGCAAAGCCUGAAAUAUCAACCUAAAAUCCUAGCUAAUUAAAUGAAGCAGUGCAUAAGGAUAUGACAUCAGGACCUAGGUGGGAUCCAGAAAUACACGGUGGUUUUAUUUUUUAUUUUUGGGGGGGUGAAGGAGGAAAAAAAUAGCUUUAUUGCUUUGCCAGGCAAAGGAGGGUCACAACAGGGUAAUAAUGCCCUAAAGACUGUGCCCCUCCAAGACCAUUUUAACGUUCACAAUUCCGUGAAUGUAAUUUUCCAUGUUAAUUUAAUAGAGAAAAAAAUUCCUAUCAUCAUCCACAUAGAUACAAACUAAAUGUAGAUUUAAAAUUCAGCAUUUUUAUAAUAAUUAUAUAUCGUAUAAUGAUGACAUAAUUUAAUGUCUUAUAAUGAUUUAAUAUCAUUAUAUGUUAUUGAUAUAAUGAUUACCUACAAUGGUAAAAUUUCAAAAUUCUAGGGAUAGAAGUAAACUUUCUUAUUAAUUGUUUAGUCAAUGUCAUUAUUUUAUUCAAAUUUUUAUUGAGCAACUAAUAUUUGCCCAGAGCUCAACUGUUUUCCCUGUUCACACACACUCAUGACAAUGUCUUCCUUGAAAAUACUGCCCAGAGAAGAAUACAUCACUGUGCAGAGAUGGUACUUACCAAAGUACUUACACAUCAAAAGUACACAUAAAGUACUCUAUAUUCAUCAUAAUGUAUAGCUGGAUUUACUUCUACUUAGUAAUAAAUAUUUUCCCCAACCCUUCUAUCUUUAUUUUCUUCCUUUUUAUUUAACCAUAGUAGAUCUUUCAGAUUUUUCUAUAUUUAAUAGCUGGAGAUGUGUCUAACUUUCAAAAUUCAUUUAAUGUAAUUACUCCCUUUUAAUGGCUAGAGCACACAGACUUACUUCUUGGCCAACAAUACUAAAUUAAUGAAAUAAAAGUCUUAAACGAAAUGUGACUUUCACCUCAGUUUGAUUUUUUUUACAGUAUAGAGAAGAUAGAUUAUAAAAGUAACUUGCAUAACAUAUACUUCCUAGACAAUUUGAAACAUGGAAAUUUUGUAAACAUAGAUGUAUUUAUAUGUAAAGUUGUUAUGGGAAAAUUAUUAAAAAAAUAGCAUUACACUCAUAUAGAAAGAUAACCAGCACCAAAAUAAAGAUUUUAAAAGUGAUAUUUUUUGUUUUACCACUCUGUGCAGAACUUUAAUUCUACAAACAAAUCACUGAAAUACAUACAUUGUAAAUGAUAAUUAACUAGAGGUUUGUAUUAGUAUUCUUUUAAAAUAUUGAUAAAUGUUUGGAAUUAUGUUUUCUUUAUUUUAGGUUUAUUAAUUUUGAGACUUAAUGUCUCGCAGCCUAAAAAAUUUCUGGUGUAAAAUAGACUUUACCUGGUAUUGUUUUUAGAGAAUGUAGCUGGUAUUAAGCUAAAGAGUACAGUUGAUACCUUGGUUCAUAUGGUGAGUCAACCUGCCUUCCUGCCUUCUUUCUUUCCCUCUUUAAAAUUUUUGCUUAAGGAUCUAUUUCUUCUGAAGCAAUAAUCAACUGUCUCCAUUGGAUUAUAUGGCAGUCAGUCUUGAUUGGCUUAUCUAAACCAAAUGAUAUUGGAUGGCAUAGCAAACGGAGGAGGAAUACUGUGUCCUAGCCCUUAAGAAAUGUGAUUCAAGGAGUUCCCAUUGCGGCUCAAUGGUAAUGAACCCAGCUAGUAUCCAUGAGGCUCCAGGUUUGAUCCCUGGCCUUUCUUAAUGGGUUAAGGAUCCGGCCUUACCAUGAGUUGUGGCGUAGGUCACAGAUGUGGCUCGGAGGCUGGCAGCUGCAACUCACAUUCGAGCCCUAGCCUGGGAACUUCCAUAUGCUGCAGAUGUGGCCCCAUAAAGUAAAAAAAAAGAAAAAA
Molecule: long non-coding RNA, 3508 nt
Filed under: Sus scrofa (pig)
Lineage: Eukaryota; Metazoa; Chordata; Mammalia; Artiodactyla; Suidae
Description: lncRNA (ENSSSCG00015059395.1)
Source: RNAcentral